Molecule: ribosomal RNA, 253 nt
Filed under: uncultured bacterium
Lineage: Bacteria
Description: partial 16S ribosomal RNA
Rfam family: Bacterial small subunit ribosomal RNA
Source: RNAcentral
GACGAGGGGUCCAAGCGUUGUUCGGAAUCAUUGGGCGUAAAGCGGGUGUAGGUGGCUCUAUAAGUCAGAAGUGAAAGCCCCGGGCUUAACCCGGGAAGUGCUUUUGAUACUGCAGAGCUUGAAUGUGGGAGAGGGUAGUGGAAUUCCAGGUGUAGUGGUGAAAUACGUAGAUAUCAGGAGGAACACCAAUGGCGAAGGCAGCUCGCUGGGACGGUACUGACGCUGAGGCGCGAAAGCGUGGGGAGCAAACAGG